Molecule: RNA transcript, 9470 nt
Organism: Nerophis ophidion (straightnose pipefish)
Lineage: Eukaryota; Metazoa; Chordata; Actinopteri; Syngnathiformes; Syngnathidae
Gene: madd
Gene name: MAP-kinase activating death domain
Exons: 40
Source: RefSeq, a predicted model, not a curated record
AGUGGGUUUCAGUAGGCCUUUAAGGUCCAAGCUUACAUCACACUCAAAUUUUUACUGCACACCUUUGGUAAGUGCCGGAGUGAGAAGAGGUUUUAAACUCAUCAUUGAUAUAUAAACUAUCAGACUGCGUGGUCAGUAGUAGUGGGUUUCAGUAGGCCUUUAAGGUCCAAGCUUACAUCACACUCAAAUUUGUACUGUAUACCUUUGGUAAGUGCCGGAGUGAGAAGAGGUUUUAAAAAUAAUUAGCGCAUGCUUACUUUUACCGCAUGCCUUUGGUAAGCGCAGGAGUGAGAAGAGGUUUUAAAUUAAUUAGCGCCCAGGCGGCAAUUGAAGAAAAUAUGGUUAAAAAAAAUAAAAAAAUUCAACGUAUUCUUUAGGGUAAGCGCAGGAGUGAGAAGAGGUUUUAAAUCAAUUAGCGCCCGGGCGGCAAUUGAAGAAAAUAUGGUUAAAAAAAAUAAAAAAAAUUCAACGUGUUCUUUAGACUUUUCAAAACAAACGCUCAAAACAUUUAAUGCCAUCCAACACAUAUAGUUGUGUUGAAGAUAUAACAUAAAAAUAUCGACAUUCGUGUCGAAGUGUCCACCCCCAGUAGGCGGAACUGCCCACACGGAUGCGGGCGAGGAGGAGGAUGUUGAGAGGGAAGGUAGGAGCGGGUUGAGCAGGGAGGUGGACAAGCUAUUUGCAUCCUCUUUUUUUUUUUAUCCAUGGCGCGAAGGCUGGCUCUUACGUCCUUGGUGUAUUUUAACGUUACACGGCGCUUCGAGAGGAAGAGACCUACUACUCCCCGCUCGCUGUGACCGAGAAGGGCAUCUCCUAGGCGGGCCGUCAUUACCAACAGCUGGCGUCUCCACGGCGCGGUGAAGCUAGCAGGCUAAUGACAGCAGGUCUUCUGGAAACCUGAAAAAAGAUGAUAGAAAAACAGCACUUUCACAACCUGACUGAAAUCCACCGCUGAAUCACUCGUGGCCAUUCACCACGGAUGUCGUGAAAUACACGACGUGUUCGAUUCAACAUGGAGAAAAAGAAAAUGUGCCCACGACUCCUGGACUACUUGGUGGUGGUCGGUGCAAGGCAGCCAAGUAGUGAUAGUGUGGCCCAGACGCCUCAGCUCCUCCGCCGAUACCCACUGGAGGACCACCGGGACUUUCCACUCCCACCAGAUGUGGUGUUCUUUUGCCAACCAGAAGGAUGUCUGAGUAUACGCCAGCGAAGGGUCAGCCUUCGCGACGACUCCUCGUUUGUUUUCACACUGACUGACAAAGACUCAGGAAUUACUCGCUACGGAAUCUGCGUCAACUUCUACCGAUCAUUUCAGCGCGGGCAUCACCGUGCCCGUGCGGACAAGAGCGGUCACACAGAGACAGCAACGCGAGGGGGGGACUCUACGAGCGAGGGGUCCGAUGGUAGCAGCGGCGGCCAGUCGUCUGCGUUGUCAGCGCCCAAGAAAGAUGAGUUAGCUCCUAAGCCAGCUUCUGGAGAAGACGUUGAACAGCAAAGUACUGAACUAAAUACUGAAAAAGCUGGCCAGCUCAAACGAAAUGCAGAUAAAAUGGCUGCCAGGAAUCGCAACAGUACACUGACGUCACUAUGCAUACUCAGCCACUACCCAUUCUUCUCCACCUUCAGGGAAUGUCUAAGUAUUCUCAAGAGAAUGGUGGAUUGCUGUAGUCAGAGGUUAACCCAGCGUGCUGGACUGCCCCACACUUUCCAAAGGGACACCAUGUGGCGCGUAUUCACUGGGGCGCUUUCAGUGGAAGAGAAGGGUAGCCAGUUGUUGGCUGACCUGCGGGACAUUGAGUCCUGGAUAUACAGGUUGCAACGGUCCCCAGUGCCUGUGGCGGGUCAAAGGCGUGUGGAUGUGGAAGUUCUGCCCCAUGAAAUGAAACGGCCUCUCACCUUUGCCCUACCUGAUAACUCCCGCUUCUCGAUGGUUGAUUUCCCAUUGCAUUUGCCUUUGGAGUUGCUAGGUGUGGAUGCCUGUCUACAGGUGCUCGCCUGUAUCCUGCUCGAGCACAAGGUUAUUCUCCAGUCUCGAGAUUACAAUGCUCUAUCCAUGAGUGUGAUGGCAUUUGUGGCCAUGAUCUACCCUUUGGAGUACAUGUUCCCUGUCAUCCCCCUAUUGCCAACAUGCAUGACCUCUGCUGAACAGCUCCUUCUUGCCCCUACUCCCUAUAUUAUUGGUGUACCAGCUAGUUUCUUCCUGUACAAAGCCAACUUCAAAAUUCCUGAUGAUGUAUGGCUUGUAGAUCUGGACAGCAGCAAGGUUAUAGCACCUACAAAUGCAGAGAGUCUGCCAUAUCUUCCAGAGCCAGAAGCUGGUGAGCUUAAGAAACAUCUGAAGCAGUGUCUGCUUAGGUUGACUGUGAUCACCCAAAAGCAGAUCUUCUCCUGUGAAAAUAAGGCCCUGGCGAGUAUGAGUUUAAACACCCAGCCCAUUUUGAACUUGGAGAAGUUUCAGGAAGGUCAUGAAAUGCCUCUGCUUCCUCCUGGACGUGAUAAAGCCUCUCCAUCAUCCACGGAGUUCAACCCCCUCAUUUACGGCAAUGAUGUUGAUUCUGUGGAUGUAGCCACCAGGGUGGCGAUGGUACGUUUCUUCAACUCCCAAAAUGUUCUCCAUGGUUUUCAAAUGCACACAAGGACUUUGCGCCUCUUCCCACGCCCCGUGGUGGCUUUCCAGUCAUCGUAUUUUCUUGCGUCUCGACCGAGACGCUCAAAUUUUGCCGAUAAGCUUUCCCACACACAAGCCGUGGAGUUCUAUGGAGAGUGGGCUCUCAAUCCGACUAACCUCGCGUUUCACAGGAUACAUAAUAAUGUGUUUGACCCGUCUUUAAUUGGUGACAAACCCAAGUGGUAUGCUCACCAGCUUCAGCCUGUGGUUUACAGAGUGUUUGAUGGAAGCUCACAGCUGGUUGAGGCUAUGGCAAGUCCAUUUGAGGAUGAAAGCAAUGACUCUGAUCCUACAGACAGCGGUAGUGACAGUGAGGCAUAUGAUGACUCAAGUUCAUCCUAUUCCUCACUUGGAGACCUUGUAAGUGAGAUGAUACAAGGAGAUAUUCAGGGCGACACACCAAGCCUCGAACCACACACCCAUGCUGCUCUGGGAGACGCAAGUGAGGUGGAGUUUCAAGACUUUCGGGACUUCAGAGACGGAAAUGGCCCAGGGAGUUCAUCAAGCGGGGACGGUCCUGCAGAUCAUUCUGAUGGACAGCCCCAUCGCUCAAGCUCCAGCACAACUGCAAGCUCCAGUCCCAGCACUAUCAUUCAGGGAGUUAACAAUGACCAAGGGGAAGCACCUGAUAGCGAGGCACCAGCGGCCUCCGCCCCACAGAACCCUGUCCCAGGAGUUGGUAGCCAGCCGUUUUUGAGACCUACAGCUGACGCUAGCCUGGGGGACUCCUCAAUACGAAAACGAGAGUAUGACAACCCCUAUUUUGAGCCCCAGUAUGGCUUCCCCUCUGAAGAUGAUCCUGAUGCAGAAGAACAAGUGGAGUCAUACACCCCUCGAUUCAACCAGAACCUCAAUGGCAACAAGGCUCAGCGUCCUUCACGUCCCAGUAGUCUGAGACUUCCUGGGGAGUCUGACGGAGAGGGAGAUUCUCACAACAGCUCACCAAACUCAACUAUUUCCAACAGCAGCAAUGAUGGAUUUGGAGGACUGAUGUCCUUUGCAAGUAAUCUUUACAAGAACCAUGGCACUAGUUUCAGUCUGUCCCAUCUUGCUCUACCCAACAAAGCUGCAAGAGAGAAAUCGACCCCUUUCCCCAGCCUCAAAGAAUAUUUGAGUUUUGAUAUUGAGGAGGAGAAGAACCAAGCAGAUACACCUGACAGCCCGGUAUUUGGGCUAAAUUCUCUAAUGGAGAUAAUAACAGAGGCCCGCCCAGGAAGCGGAGAAGGUGCCCGUGCACCUCGGGCACUUGUGGAUCAGAAGUCUUCUGUCAUCAAGCACAGCCCAACAGUGAAGAGGGAAUCACCAUCUCCUCAGAGUGGCAACAACACAAGUGAAAACCAGCAAUUCUUAAAGGAGGUUGUACAGAGUGUUCUAGAUGGACAAGGAGUCGGCUGGCUCAACAUGAAAAAAGUACGCCGCCUGUUGGAGAAUGAGCAGCUCCGCGUCUUUGUGCUAAGUAAACUGAAUAGAGCCACCCAGUCCGAGGAAGAUUCCAGACAGGAGAUCAUACGUGAUGUGGAGAUCAGCAGGAAGGUGUACAAGGGCAUGCUGGACAUCUUGAAGUGUACGGUGUCCAGUUUGGAACAUUCCUACACAAAUGAGGUUGUUGGAGGAAUGGCCAGUGUGUUCAUUGUAUUGGAGAUAGCACGCACACAUUAUCAAACCAAAGACCCGGAAAAGCGCAAGCGAAGCCCCACAGACAGUGCUGGUAGCCCAGGGAGUAAAGAGAGUCCUUCCGGUCGCAUGGAGGCUGCCAAACCUCAAGGUCUUCUCAACGUUCCUCAUCUGCAGCUACCUCAUCACGCUAUGGGCAGAGGGGCCCGCCAUUUUGAUACCCGGAGUCUGAAUGAAGAAAACUUUAUUGCCUCCAUUGAAUUGUGGAGCAAGCACCAGGAUAAGCAAAAAUCUAUGGAAAAACCACAGAGGGCUGAAGGGGCAAAGCAGCAGCGCCCUCAGGUGACUGAUGCAGAGGAGAAGAAAUCACAGAUCAGUGCUGAUAGUGGUUUCAGUGUCACAUCUGCUUCUCAGAAGAGCGACACAGAGUCCGUAACAAGUUCAGAACCUCCCAUCUUGACGAGAAGUACAAGCCAAGACUCAGAGGCGAGCACGGUGAUAAGUUUCAGCUCUGGAGAGACACUGGGUGCUGACAGUGACUUGAGCAGCACGGCGGGAGAUGGCCUGGGUGGGAGAAGCGCUCUGCAUUUAGCUCAGUCCAGAGGGACCCUCUCUGACAGUGAGAUUGAAACAAACCCUGCCACCAGCUCAGUCUUUGGAAAGACUCAUACACUGAAACCAGGGGCAAAAGAGCACGCAACUGCAAUUGCAAAGGGGAUGCCCACUCAGCCUAUGGAGGAUAUCAGCAUGAGGAUCUAUCUUUGCGAAGGCCUGCUUGGCCGUGAUAAGAGCUCCGUUUGGGAUCAACUAGAGGAUGCUGCCAUGGAAACCUUUUCGCUAAGUAAAGAGCGCUCAACGCUUUGGGACCAGGUGCAGUUCUGGGAGGAUGCCUUCUUAGAUGGUGUCAUGUUAGAGCGUGAAGGGAUGGGAUUGGACCAGCGACCCCAAGAGAUGAUUGAAAGGUACCUGUCAUUGGGAGAACAAGACCGCAAGCGCCUGGAGGACGAUGAGGACAAACUGCUGACUACUUUGCUGCACAACAUGGUUGCAUACAUGCUCAUGAUGAAAGUGAGCAAAAAUGACAUCAAGAAGAAAGUGAGACGUUUGAUGGGAAAGUCCCACAUUGGCCUCACCUACAGCCAAGAGAUCAAUGAGCUGCUGGACAAAUUGGCCCAAAUGAACGGCCGUGAGCUGUCUAUCAGGGCCUGUGGAAGUCGUCAUAUAAAGAAGCAAACGUUUGUUGUACAUGCUGGUACUGAUACAACCGGUGACCUUUUUUUCAUGGAGGUCUGUGACGACUGCAUAGUCCUGCGUAGCAACAUUGGCACAGUGUAUGAGCGCUGGUGGUACGAAAAGCUCAUCAACAUGACUUAUUGCCCCAAGACAAAGGUUUUAUGUCUCUGGAGACGCAACGGCCAAGAGACACAACUCAAUAAGUUCUAUACCAAAAAGUGUCGCGAACUCUACUACUGUGUUAAAGAUAGUAUGGAAAGAGCGGCAGCCAGACAGCAAAGCUCAAAACCAGGCCCAGAGUUGGGGGGAGAGUUCCCGGUCCAGGACAUGAAAACUGGCGAGGGGGGAUUGCUGCAAGUCACGCUGGAAGGAAUCAACCUGAAAUUCAUGCACAGUCAGGUUUUCAUAGAGCUGAGUCACAUAAAAAAGUGCAAUACAGUGAAGGGAGUCUUUGUCCUGGAGGAAUUUGUUCCUGAAACUAAAGAAGUGGUGAUCCACAAGUACAAGACCCCCAUGGCACAUCAGAUCUGUUACUCCGUCCUCUGUCUGUUCUCCUACGUGGCAGCUGUGAAGGGGAAGGAGGCGGACGGAAAAGCCAAGAUUCUCUCCCCAAGACCCCUUCCUAGCUAGUGCUCCUCCUCCCCUCCCCCACCUGUCCUAGUUCUAUGUGCCUCUACCCGAAGCGGCGUCACACAGCAGACAAUCCCUUGGCGACCCGGAAGCACACAAACGUACACCACGUCUGGUCCCCCGAGCCCCGGGAAAGGGGUCAUCUCUCCAAGCCCCUCGUCGAUUUGUCUUCAGUAACGAUGGAACCGAGUGCAUGCAGGUCCCAUGCACCCCGCCCACCCACACACACACACACACACACACCUGUUACCAUGGCAAUGUGCAUACAUUAGUGACAUCACUGGCCGACCUUUUUGUCCAACUACUGUUCUACUCCUAACCUUGUCUGUGCUCUGCUGUUUACCACGUCUUGCAUGUUACAUGUGUGUACAUAUAUAUAUAUAUAUAUAUCAUAUUUAUUUACAUUGUUGCUGUAUAUUUCAGACUAAAAAUAAUAUAACUAUGGAAUUGCUUAAAGCGCAAUACUGAGUAGUUCGCCAUUCCAGCAGCUUUCCGUCCUAUUUGGCGUUCACAGGGUCUAACAUCAGUUUUUGUUUUUCUUUUUAUUGCUCAACGUGAAUAUUAAUAUAAUAAUAAUAAGUGUGAUUUCUUCCAAGUGUGAAGACAAAACAAUGUUCCUCCGGUGACGUGUGUGCAUUUCAGGUGAUCGGGGAGUUUUUCUGUCUACUGUCCCCAAAGUGUCAUCCCUCAAGUCAAAUAUUGGUCACGUGACUUAAAGUUAAUUGGUUCCUGUAAAAAAUAUUAUUCAUCUGUGGAAAUGUGAACAUGAACGCCGGAAUCAUCUCCGCUCCAAUUCAGGCUUGUUGUGCUUCGAGUCAUGUUGUCAUCGUGUGUGAGGAGAAACAUGAAAUGCCAAGUGCAGCGACGAUACUCGUUACAAAUUGAUUGACAGAAAGCAGAACAGUAAUUUAUGCAUGACCGUGUCAAGGAAGCAAAAAGGCACAGGACUGACAAGCAGACAAUUGUCUUCCAGUCGUUCAUAAGUCACACAAUCAUGGAAGUGGCGAGCAGACAUUACAGAUGGUACGUACAUUACCUGGCUUUUGUUCCUCAUCUGAAGCAAAGCAAGUCUUAAUCAGCCCCGCCACAAUUUCUGUGGCCUUUUUGUAGUGAUUGCCGCCCAAAUUGCCUGAUUUCGUAGCAACUUUUUUUUCAGAAAGUUGUUGCCAAGUUUUGAAGCUGGUUUUCAUUUUCAGUAAUAUUCAAUCAACUUGUAAUUGUAAUUUUUUUUGCAUCAAUGUGUGAAAUGUUUUUUUUGUAACUUUAAGGCCAAAACGCACCGGAUAUCAACACCAAUUACAAAAAAAAUGUGUGUGUUGAUGUCAAAAGGAAACACUAGAUGGCAGUAAAAGAACUGAGCUCAUUGUUAAAAAGACUAAUCUUUUUAAUUCAUUAUAACCAAUAGUAAUUAUUAUUAUUACAACUAAAGAAAGAAACACGUUUUAAAUGAUCCGUCACAGACAUUCUCUUUGUGUGUUUUAUGCUUGAAAAUGUCCUAAACAUGUAUGUUACAACACAUUAAGAUAAUUUGUGAACGCUUUAGUGCAAUCUAGAGCAGUGGUUCUGAAAUGGGGGUACGUGUACCCCUGGGGGUACUUGAAGGUAUGCUAAGGGGUGCGUGAGAUUUUUUUUUUAAUCCUAAAAAUAGCAAAAAUUCAAAAAUCCUUUAUAACUAUAUUUAUUAAAUAAUACUUCAACAAAAUAUGUAUGUUAGUUCUUAAACUGUGAAAAGAAAUACAACAAUGCAAUACUCAGUGUUGACGGUUAGAUUUUUUUGUGGACAUGUUCCAUAAAUAUUGAUGUUAAAGAAUUAUUUUAUUGUGAUGAAAUGUUUGGAAUUAAGUUCAUGAAUCCAGAUGGAUGUCUAUUACAAUCCCCAAAGAGGGCACUUUAGGUUGACUUCUAUGUGUAGAAAUCUUUAUUUAUAAUUGAAUCACUUGUUUAUUUUUCAACAAGUUUAUCGUUGUCUUUUUUUCCGAAUAGUUCAAGAAAGACAACUACAAAUGAGCAAUAUUUAGCACUGUUAUCAGAAACUGAUGACAUAGUAUUUUACUUCUUUAUCUCUAUUUUUCAACCAAAAAUGCUUUGCUCUGAUUAGAGGGUACUUGAAUUAAAAAAAAUGUUCACAGGGGGUACAUCACUGAAAAAAGGUUGAGAACCACUGAUCUAGAGCGCUAAUUUUUGGUAAAAGCGAGACAAUGAGUUAUCAUCACACAUCAACAUCUCUAUUUUGCAAACACUGCCUUUGUUUGGUCAGCAUUACAAAGGAAAAUCUAAAUUGUUCUACCCUGGAUAAAUAAGAGUUAAAUAAAUAUAUAAAUACAUGUAAACAAGGUGUGUUGCUAAAUAUUUAUACACUACAUCACCCAAAAGGGCUCGCGCUAUAGAUAGGAAUCGGAAGUAUUGUGUAAGGUAGUGAUUGUCAAUCUGUGGUACCAGUAGUGGUACGCCAGAUAAUCCAAUAUUCACACACGCCGUUUCCGUUCAAACUUCGUGUAAUGUCACCGUGGCCAUAAAUAUUAAAUAUAGGAGUGUAAUAAAACCUCUGCCGUGUUUUUAAUGAGUACUUAGGCUUACUACGCUACUGUAUUUUAAUGUUGGCCAUUAUGGUGGUACUUGAAGAGCCAAGCUCCCCAAACCAGUAUUGAUCAUUUGUGUUUUAAAUACAGUUAUUAAGUUAACAUUUAAUCGUUUUGUUAUUACAUGUAAUUAUCGUGUUAUUAAUCAUAACUAUACCCCCCCAACUAUGUCAAAGAUCUCUCCAAACUUGUCCCAUUUGUUUGUGCUGAAGACCGUUUAGUUUGUACGGUUUUUACCUUAACAUGUUGUGGAUUUUCAAGUGUGAUGAUUCAUAACCAACCUUCAAACCAUGUAAACAUUUCCACAAACCAGUCCCAAUCGUUUUGUACUGCAAUACACUUUGCUCUAACUAUUAUAGUUUUUAAGUUAUUAAUGCAUUAAGAUUCAUGAAACAUUAUUCAUUUAAAAAAAAACAGCAGCAUUGACAAGCAUAAGCAAAAGGGAGAUUUGGCGCAGGUUGAUAUGUUGUUACAUGUUGUUGUUGUUCCUGCUUUGUCCACACAAUAAACUAUUCUACAUUUGGAUCAGAGACUUAGGUGGCAUAAAACGAUGCUGAUUGGCCAAAAUGUGCAAGGCAGUUCACCAAAUGGUGGAGGGACUGAUUCUGUGUACCGAAAAUUGCAAUACUGUGCAUACGUUAUUAUAGGGAAAUUACACUUUUUGGGGGAAUUUUGCCCAUCGUUCACAAUCUUUAUGAGAGACAAGGACACACAUUUGUUUCGUGUUUUUUUAGGAUUUUAAAGAU